GAUGAAGAACGCAGCGAAGUGCGAUAAGUAAUGUGAAUUGCAGAAUUCCGUGAAUCAUCGAAUCUUUGAACGCAAAUUGCACUUUCUGGUAUUCCGGAAAGUAUGCCUGUUUGAGGGUCAGUUAAAUAAAAAUCGGUGUUGUUGCUACCCGUAGUGGUGUUAAUGCAUCGGAAUUGAGUUGUCUUUACCUUUUUUGGUUUAAGUGACUUAAAAUUAUGUACGAUUUUUGAACGUAUUUAAAUUAUUUACGUAUGUUCAUAAUAUCAAAUAUUAGAUGCGGUCAUCCUCAUGAUUCACAUCUAUAAUUUUUCAUUAUUUGACCUCAAAUCAGGUAAGAGUACCCGCUGAACUUAAGCAUAUCAAUAAGCGGAGGA
This 374-nucleotide unclassified non-coding RNA is filed under the name soil metagenome. RNAcentral's name for it is "partial contains 5.8S ribosomal RNA, internal transcribed spacer 2, and large subunit ribosomal RNA". The stretch from base 1 to 120 matches the Rfam family "5.8S ribosomal RNA", at positions 35 to 154 of the family's 154-position model. The record is from RNAcentral.